GACGGUCCUGGACCAACAACUCUUUAACCAAUCACAGCCUUGUGAUGUCAUCAAUGUGAGUCUUCUGCUUCUCCCAUUGCCAUUUUGAAAUUUCCCUCCAGAAACAACCAGUGGAUCACCAACUUGUAUCUCAAUAAAGGUCCAUCAUAGGGAAGUUUGUCCAGGUCCAUCACAGUGAAGCUGGUUCAGGUCCAUCAGAAGGAAGCUGGUCCAGGCCCAUCACAGUGAAGCUGGUCCAGGUCAAUCACAGGGAAGUUGGUCCAGGUCAAUCGCAGGGAUGUUGGUCCAGGCUCAUCAUAAGAAAGUUGGUCCAGGUCCAUCACAGGGAAGCUGGCCCAGGUCCAUCAUAAGAAAUAGCA
This is a long non-coding RNA of Alosa sapidissima (American shad), 359 nucleotides long. RefSeq lists it as uncharacterized. The record is from RefSeq and is a predicted model, not a curated record. The transcript is spliced from 3 exons. Lineage: Eukaryota; Metazoa; Chordata; Actinopteri; Clupeiformes; Clupeidae.